This is a small nucleolar RNA of Raphanus sativus (radish), 107 nucleotides long. The record is from RefSeq and is a predicted model, not a curated record. NCBI's taxonomy places the organism in Eukaryota, Viridiplantae, Streptophyta, Magnoliopsida, Brassicales, Brassicaceae.
AACCCAUGAUGUGAACAAUCUCGCUAGAAUGCUUUGAAUUUGAUCCAAGCAUCUCUGAAUGAUUCUCCAGGUUUCUGUGUGAAUGUAGCAAUUUUGCUCCUCAAUCU